This 866-nucleotide ribosomal RNA is filed under the name Virgibacillus dokdonensis. Its description in RNAcentral is "bacterial SSU rRNA". It matches the Rfam family "Bacterial small subunit ribosomal RNA", at positions 23 to 853 of the family's 1533-position model. Lineage: Bacteria; Bacillati; Bacillota; Bacilli; Caryophanales; Bacillaceae. The record is from RNAcentral.
CUCAGGACGAACGCGGGCGGCGUGCCUAAUACAUGCAAGUCGAGCGCGGGAAGCAAGCAGAUCUCCUUCGGGAGUGACGCUUGUGGAACGAGCGGCGGACGGGUGAGUAACACGUGGGCAACCUACCUGUAAGACUGGGAUAACUCCGGGAAACCGGGGCUAAUACCGGAUGAAACAAAGCGUCGCAUGACGCAAUGUUAAAAGGCGGCAUAUGCUGUCACUUACAGAUGGGCCCGCGGCGCAUUAGCUAGUUGGUGAGGUAAAGGCUCACCAAGGCAACGAUGCGUAGCCGACCUGAGAGGGUGAUCGGCCACACUGGGACUGAGACACGGCCCAGACUCCUACGGGAGGCAGCAGUAGGGAAUCUUCCGCAAUGGACGAAAGUCUGACGGAGCAACGCCGCGUGAGUGAUGAAGGUUUUCGGAUCGUAAAACUCUGUUGUUAGGGAAGAACAAGUGCCAUUCGAAUAGGUUGGCACCUUGACGGUACCUAACCAGAAAGCCCCGGCUAACUACGUGCCAGCAGCCGCGGUAAUACGUAGGGGGCAAGCGUUGUCCGGAAUUAUUGGGCGUAAAGCGCGCGCAGGCGGUCCUUUAAGUCUGAUGUGAAAGCCCACGGCUUAACCGUGGAGGGCCAUUGGAAACUGGAGGACUUGAGUACAGAAGAGGAGAGUGGAAUUCCACGUGUAGCGGUGAAAUGCGUAGAGAUGUGGAGGAACACCAGUGGCGAAGGCGACUCUCUGGUCUGUAACUGACGCUGAGGUGCGAAAGCGUGGGUAGCGAACAGGAUUAGAUACCCUGGUAGUCCACGCCGUAAACGAUGAGUGGGGAGGUGUUAGGGGGUUUCCGCCCCUUAGUGCUGAAGUU